This 496-nucleotide ribosomal RNA is filed under the name uncultured bacterium. RNAcentral's name for it is "partial 16S ribosomal RNA". It matches the Rfam family "Bacterial small subunit ribosomal RNA", at positions 28 to 506 of the family's 1533-position model. The record is from RNAcentral.
GAUGAACGCUGGCGGCGUGCCUAAUACAUGCAAGUCGAGCGAACGGACGAGAAGCUUGCUUCUCUGAUGUUAGCGGCGGACGGGUGAGUAACACGUGGAUAACCUACCUAUAAGACUGGGAUAACUUCGGGAAACCGGAGCUAAUACCGGAUGAUAUUUUGAACCGCAUGGUUCAAAAGUGAAAGACGGUCUUGCUGUCACUUAUAGAUGGAUCCGCGCUGCAUUAGCUAGUUGGUAAGGUAACGGCUUACCAAGGCAACGAUGCAUAGCCGACCUGAGAGGGGGAUCGGCAACACUGGAACUGAGACACGGUCCAGACUCCUACGGGAGGCAGAAGUAGGAAAUCUUGCGCAAUGGGCGAAAGCCUGACGGAGCAACGCCGCGUGAGUGAUGAAGGUCUUCGGAUCGUAAAACUCUGUUAUUAGGGAAGAACAUAUGUGUAAGUAACUGUGCACAUCUUGACGGUACCUAAGCAGAAAGCCACGGCUAACUACGU